This 72-nucleotide transfer RNA is filed under the name Camelus bactrianus (Bactrian camel). It matches the Rfam family "tRNA". Rfam says of the family: Transfer RNA (tRNA) molecules are approximately 80 nucleotides in length. Their secondary structure includes four short double-helical elements and three loops (D, anti-codon, and T loops). RNAcentral also lists the same sequence under 3 other names. Lineage: Eukaryota; Metazoa; Chordata; Mammalia; Artiodactyla; Camelidae. The record is from Rfam by way of RNAcentral.
GAGGGUAUAGCUCAGUGGUAGAGUGUGUGCUUAGCAUGCACAAAGCCCUGGGUUCAAUUCCUGGUACCUCCA